UCUCCACACCCUCUCUAGCAUUUAUCAUCUGUGAACUUUUGUAUGAUGGCUAUUCUGACUGGUGUGAGGUGAUGAGUAUAUAAAUGUUUAAAAACAUUUCAGGUGAAAUUUAAAUGCCUAAGAACCUCAUCAUAUGGCUUUUUUUCUUUCUGCUAUUAGUUUUGUCAAGUGUAAUUCUCCUUCAUUAAAUUCUGAAGAUCUGAAUGUGAUGAAGAUACGAGAAUUGUUAAUAGUCAAGCUUUCCUAGUAACACUUUAUUUCUCGUGUAGUUUUCACACUGCCAGUUUUAUUGUGUUCAUUGUUUCUACCGCUGAUGUCCGUGAUUGACCUAACAAAAGGCUGAUGGUAGUCAUAUUUUCUGAGCUGAAUCGUGAGGAGAUGGCCAGUAGUGUUUUCAGGUGGAGAGCCUGAGGAAAGGGGCAGAAGGGAGAGAGGGUGGAGUGGGGGGUGGGGAAGGUGAGAAUGUGGGGCUGGGGAAGGAUACGGUAGAAGCAGAAACAGAAGUGAAGAGACACAAGAGGAAAAGCUCAGGCUCCUGGACUGUGUUUAGCCAUGUCUUUAUGCACAUGUGUAAUAUAAGGGUCAUCGGUUACUCACAGCAACACUGUGAGGUAAGCGUUUUUCAUGUUAUCAUCCCUUUUUACAGAUGACAAGGCUGAGACACGUAGAGGUUUACAGGUGAAGGAACUUACCCAGAGUCACCCAGCCAGCAAGGGCUGAGUCAGAUUGGUACCCAGGCCAGAGAGAAACAGAGACAUGGUGUCCGGCACCAAACUCUGGAACACACUGCAGCGUCCGGUGUCCCCUGGAUCAAAAGGCAGGUGACUGUGUCCAGCAGCGUGAAUCAGAUCACACUGGGUCUCUUUAUGGAUUGAAGGUGACGUCUGUUCAGUGCAUGAAAGACUGGGGUGUCAUCUCCAUAUGCACACGUCACAGAGGACAGUUCCCCGUAGGUGUGAAGGUCUAUCCUUAUCUUUGCUCCUGCUGAUGUCAGUCAACAUCCUCAUCCUUAUGGAAAGUAGCGUAUCCAUAGUAUAAUGAUAAACGGAGCAGUAGAUACAACAUUAUGAAGGCAUUACCUCCCCACCCACCUCAUCGUUUUUAAAAAUGCAUAGAAAGAAACCUGGAAGACAAGAGACCACAUAUUAAGUGUUUUUCUCUUAAAUGUGAAGUUCUAGGAAAUUUCCAAACAACAUUUAUUAUUCACUUUUUAUUUUCUGUACUUCAUUAUUCCAUAGCCAAUUUUUCUAUUCUAAUUUUAAAAUAGUCCUUCUGAAGACCCAUUCUCUUAGGUAUCUUGACGUUUCAGGAUUUAAUAAAAAAAAUGUUUUUAUAUCUUUGCCAGGUGAAAAACCAGACAGCGCAUUGAAAGCAGGAGAAUGAUCUUUUGUACAGUAGGUGGGGAGCGGCGGGGAGGGGAGCAGAGAGGUCCUGAUAGAAGGUUAGAUAAGUCUGCAAGUGUAAACGAGGCCACACAGGAUAGAGGCCAAACCCAAAUCACAACUAGCACUUCCCUACAGAGAGAGUGGUGUUCUAUCCGCAUAAGUAUCCGUAUUAGGACUUCUUAGGCCUUCGCUCUUUUUUGGCUCCCGUGGCUCGAUGGGGCCACACGCAAUACUUACAAGGAAGUCCUGCUUUGAGCCAGGCUGUGGAUGAGGGUCGCACCCUCCCCUGCAGCACCGCCCCAUUUGUGGGCCAUCCGGAGCACUUUUCUUGAUGUCUGGGAGCCUGCAGAUUCAGAAGGGAAGAGAGGAAGAAGAUACACAGUGCGGUAGGUAGGUCCAGCCCUCCCCCAGUAAAUCCAUACGCAGAGAGUGAGAUGCAGGUGCAGUCAUCAGUUGGGAAGGAGCAGAGCUGGAUUGGGUGACUCAAGGAGGAAACGUGGAAGUGAAUGCAAAGGGGAGAAAACACGUUAAGAGGGGUGAACGGCUACAGUUCCCAUUUCUAGUACGAGGAUAGGGUGCUCCAUUAUUGUUGGGAGAGGGCUCCCUGCUCUGAGCGCUGGCAGGGCCUCACUGCACUUGGUGAUGAGCGUUCUGAGGACCCGCCAUCAGCCCUAACUAGGGGGUGCUGAGCAUGUGAAGCCAGGAAGGAGUCAGCCUUUACCACCGACAGACACAGAGAGCUUCUUAGGCCUGCUGAAGGUACUGCUGUGGCACCUCAGGGAAGCUCAAAGGUGCCCUGUAGCAAAACCACCAGUGCUUCCUCAGCCUCCUGAACCAGCUCAGGAAGGCUGCCCAGACACUACAUACUGAUCUGGAUGUGCCUGGUGGUAGCGGUGUGUGUGUGUGUGUGUGUGUGUGUGUGUGUGUGAGUGAAAUGAAUAUGAUCUCUCUGUUUAAUGGUUCACCAAGCUCCACCUGUGGUCAGGGCACUAUGCUGGGUGUCUGGGGGAUACGAAAAAAAGAAAAAGACACAUCACUGCCUUCAUGGAGUUUAUGUGAAAUCGUGAGACAAUAGUGAAUCUAACAGUCACACAAAUAAACGUGAAAACUGCUGCUGUGAUUGGUGAGAGCAGAGAGGCCCACCCCAGGGCUUCGGAGGAAAUGACCUUAGCCAGAUCUUUAGGGAAGUCUUCCCUGAAGAGACAUGACUUGAGUUGAAAUGUGAAUGAUGCCCAGGAGUUAACUAAUCAAGAGGCUUCAGGAAGAGGGGACAGUCUAAGUGAAGUUUGGAAAAUUGGAGGGUGUGAAAGAAGCCCAAUAAGAGAGACAAGAGGAAGCUCUGCUUUCCAUAUGGCUAAAGAGGUGGGCAGGGGCUAGACCACGCCUCGACGUCCUUGUGUAGGAGUGUAGUCUUCGUGUAAAGUCAGGGACAGCUCUGCAACAGGAAGAGAGGGAGGGGAGAGGGAGACAGAGACCGGCACACUGAGCGGAUGUGAGAGGCCACUUAGAAGGGAGGUUUCACAAUCAGAAGCAGGGAGGCUUUGGACUAGAGCUGAUGGGGUGGGCACAGGAAAAAGUGGAAACAUCAAGUAUUUGGGAAGUAAAAUGGGCAGAACUCAGCAAGGAUUUGGACUUGAGGUGAAGGAGAGGGAGUUGCAAAAAUGGUUAUGACUAAGUUUCUGUGUUUACUCAUAGGAGUACGAUGGAGUUGUCCAUUGACAUGGGAAAUACCAGCAGACGGCCCAGUCUGCAAAGAAUUCCGAAAUAAGACGUAUUUAUGAGAUCACGCUGUAGGUGGAUACGAUGUUCCUGGCAGCAUGAAUCAACAAUCAAAGAGUGCAAGCAGCCCAAACGCCAACCAGCUAAUGAAUACAGUUUGAAAUACAGUGGUAUAUCCGUAUAAUAGAAUAUUAUUCAGCCAUCAAAAAGAACAGAGGACUGAUACAUGCUACGACAUGGAUCAAUCUUGAACACAUGAAGCAAAGUGAAAGAAGGCAGACACACAAGGCCGCCUAGUGCAAGAUUCUGUUUUUAUGACAUGUCCAGAGUAGGCAUCUCCAUAAAGACGAAAGCAGGUUAGUGAGUGCCAGGGGCCGGUGGGAGGGGACGUUGCGGAGAGACUGCUCACGUUCUGCGAUUAUGCAUUGGGGUUGGUUGCACAGCAUGGUGAAUAUGGUAAAAAACCAUUCAAAGGGUGAGUGUGCUACAUGCAUGACAGUUGAAUAAAAAAAUUUUUUAAAGAAAGGGAUGUACCUUGGGAUAUAUUUUGGGCCAUUUUGGGAAAUAGAGUCAGCCACACCAGAAGGAGUAAUAAGCACUCCAGAUCUUGCCUCCAUCAGUUUGAUCACCAGAUGCGACCACUGGAGUCAGUUUAGGUGUUUCCCUCUAUUCCGUGUUUUCUGCAUGGAAAAACAUCACGUAGACACACGCACCCAGACGCUGGUGAGUAGGAGUACUUCUCGCUUCUCAUUUAGAAACUUCUCUGGCCAGUCAAAGUGGUUCCCCUCAUUGUCUUUCACAGCUAGUGGUGCUCCGUGGUAUAAUAUGAACACUUCAUCUCUCACUUACCCUUCCACUGGUCAAUGCCUAUUACUGGACAUUUAGCACUCCCCCCACCCCCAGAAAUUUGCUGCUGUCACUGUACACACAGCUCUCUGCAGGUGUGAAUAUUUCUUUAAGACACUAUAGCAGUGGAACUGCUGGUCCAAACAAUCCUUUGGCUAAACAGACAUCUCUCGAGUCCCGACUGGGUGCCUCACACUAUUCUAAAUGUGGAGGGACAUUGCAGAAUACGACUGACACGUGUCCCUCUUUUCAUGAAGCUGAGAGUGGGUGCAGGAUGGAAUUUAAAUUUUGAUGGAUGCUGCCACAGAGCCGUGCGAAGGUGUUUUCCGGACUCACACUUGCCUCAGUGGGGCAGGGGAAUGAAUGUCCCUUUGCUGGCACCCAGUGCCAUUCGUGUGGUGACGGCUCUAGGCAGGUGGCUGGACUCCAAAGAGCUUCGGGUCUGCAGCUGGAAUGAUGGGCAUGUGAGGAAGUGAGCUUCUCGGCGGCCACACCCUCAGUUGUGAGAUGACAAAGUUUCUUUGACACAGGAUGGCAGGUGUCUGACCCUUUGGUGGCUCUGCCUACCGAGUGUGUCAUCUCUGACCUGGCUGUAAGUCUGUGUGCCAGGGAUUGAGGCUGCUGGAGCUUUGGGAGUUUAUGGUGUCUCAGGCUGUGAACGUUGGGCUUGGUGGGAUUUGGGGUACCACAGUCUGAGGUCUCUUCGAUGCUGGCUGCACGUAACGUUGUGAGCGCGCUCUCCACCUCCACGGCACCAGUGCUCUGAGCUGUUUGUGUGUGUCUGUGCCCGGGAGUGUGAGCUCUGUGAUUGUGUGGCUUCUGUGUCCAGGCUGUGAGGCCUGGGAGCUAUUGGGUUUCUGCAUUGCAGGCUAUGAAGUUGCUAAAAUGCAUGUAGACCUGUCAUGUCUGAGCUGAUUUUGUGUCUCUGGCCUCAUCGAUCGAGCCCGUAGGAGUUUCAGUUCACUGGAUUGUUUGGUGGUGUGUGUCCAAUGCAGUGAGGUCCCCUCUCUGCUGUUUUGUGGGUCUGUAACUGAGCUUAGCAUGUCAUUGAUGUCUCUGGGGUUUUGUGACUCAUAGUGUGCAGUCCCUGGGGUAUUUGUGAGCCUGUAUUCAGAGUAUGAUGCUGCAGAGCUGGCGGGAGACUGGGGUCCCAGAGUGAGGUCUGCUCUGUCUUUGGUUCUAUGUUCCAGAGGUUGAAACCUCUGAGUCCCUGGGGCGUUUUAUGCCGAUUGAGAGACUGUCAUUUGCCAGAGUUCCGACAUGAGGUGUUGCGACCUCUUCCUGAUGUUUCAGUCCGACAGUUUUCCAGAAGGAAAGGGAGAGGUUGAUUGAUCUGAGUUGAGUUGACUGUGGACUCGUCCACUGCCACUCCCAUCAGGAGGACAUGGAACACACCUGGGGCAAGUCACCUGACUGUUGGGGAAAGGGAUGUAAAACUUCCCCUUGCUUUGCAAACAUAAAGAAAAGCCUGACAAGUGAAAGUAAGAGGAGAAGGAAGUACUGCAGCUGCUGAAACCGAAGCAUUUCACACUAGCACACCCAAAUUAAUCGAAAAUUGUGAACUUGUAAGUGUUUCACAAACAGCAAUAAUUUAUUUUUCAUUAGCCUGUCGAGAAUCAAAUUCAGGUCUAAAGUAAAGCCUCAACGUUGAAAAUGUCUAACUUCCUUUCAAGUUAGGCGUUUGAAAGUUGAAAUAAAGCCCGGUGACUCCUGAGUCCCAGAUCACGGAGCUGCCGGGCAGGAGGCGUGGUGGAGAUGGACGCGGGCCCAGUGUGAGGCCCUGUCCCAAGGGAGAGGAGACACGACCCGACCCGCACGGGACUCACAGCCUAGUGGGGGAGGCACCCCUGUUGCUGCAGGCAGCAAAUAUUCAUCGAGGGCUUUCUGCGUGCCAAGCACUGCUCCCCACGUGGGACCCAUGGCAACAGAAAUCCCCGCCCCGGACUUUACGGUCCCUGAAGGGGAAGGGGUAGGCGGCAGGCGUAAAGCCUCAUCAUAACAACUGAGGAAGUUGUACAGUGCCGUAGAAGGUGAUGGUGCUGUGGCCAGAAAACAAUGCAAACCCUGGGACGGGGCCUGGUAAUGUGAGGAGCUAGCGGGAGAGCUGCAGGUUAGACCGCUGACCAGAGCCACCAGGGUAGGCUUCAUGGGGGAGGUGACAUUUUGACAAAGACGUGAAGGGGAAAGGAGUGAGCAAAGCAGACAGCUGAGGUCAGGACGUUGCAGACAGAGGGGACAGUUGGGGAAAGUGCCACAGGCAGAGGCUGCCAGACAGUGCAGACUCCACCAGGAGGCCGGGCAGCUGAAGACAGGGAGUGAGAGGCAAACGGAAUGCGGGGAUGAGAUCCUGCAUCUGCUUGGUCGGCUGACCGGAAAGGACCACCAGGGGUCACAGAUGCUGAAGGACAGGCCUGUGCCAGGCUGCGGAGGGAGGCAGAGGAGGGACACGGGGAAGAGCAGGCGGCGUUGAGGCAGGGUAAGCGAGGAGCUCGGAGGGCAGCAGAGGGGCAGCUACGAGUGAGGCUGACGGCCUCACCUGGACGCCACAUGCCCUCCCUACGUGCAUUCACGGCCCCGUCUCCAUGGACACCUGUGCCCUGGGCACGGCAUCACACACCUCAGUAGCAGGCUGAGCUCAUUCAACAGUCCAUCGAUUGGACUCCGGCCACUUGGUACUUGGUAAAUGUUCGGUGUGCUGACUGGUGCUCCAGGUAUCUGGGCCCAAGGUGCACUGUGAGGCCAGAACUGCGGCUGAUGGGGCAACGGACUGACCCACAUGUGUGUGAUGAACGUUGCCGCCUCUUUUAUUAGGAGUUUCCGGAAUUAGGGACGGUAUGAAAGAUGCAGCCCUCCACCCCUCUGAGGGUAGAGAAUCUUACUCCCCAGAUGUCUUAUUUAUGCCGCUGUCCUCUGUCAUUUUUAACACAGAGAUAACUGGUCCAAGACGAGCAACCGUUUAUUGACCAAAUACCUAGGGUCAAGGUCCUUAGAUCAUUGAAGAACCAUGUUUUAAGCUCCACCCGGACACUACACCUCAGGUACUGUGGCCAGCCUGGGGAUGCAGGGAUGAUGUGGGCUGGAACCCGCAAGCAGCGGGACGCCACCUGCUGUGUGAGGAGAGCUAUGGCAGGAUUUAAGUCAUAGACCCUAGGAGCACAGCAGAGCGCAGGUGACUCCUCCCAAAGUGUGAAAAAGUUCACUCGCGGGGGAGGAAGUGUGGAGGUUUGGUCAGGACACCCUUCUCAGGGGUGGGGAGGUUCUUGAGGUAGGACGUUCGUCCGCAUCUUACAGGCACACAAGCUGCAGGACACAGACACGAAGACGGGUAGAGGCAGACUUCUGUUCCCAGUCUGUGGGGCUGCAGACCACCCGGCAGCUGGGUCAUGUCCAGAGUUCUCAUUGCAGCCCCAAAGCACUUCCUCUGCUCCUGCUCGCCUCUGGAUCCCUAAUAUCUGGGGAACAGACCGAGACUGGGGGCGACAUACCUAGGGGUCGGGGCUGAUUGCAAAAGCCUAUCCCGUAUGGCAAAGUGCCUCCUGCAGGGGAAGUUCCAGUCCUGCCUGGCUGUUGGCUCUGAGGCAAGGCUUUCCUGCCGGUGGUCUCUGGUUUUUGGCUUCAGGGCAGCUCCUCUGAAGGCAGAUACAGAUGGUCUUAGAACCUUUCAGGGUGGCUUUACCCUGCUGGGUGCCUGCAUUUCACAGGUGGACGUGGUAUUGGGACAGCGAUGACCCUCCCGUCCUGGAACAGUGUCUGCAUCUCGGCAACUGAAACACAAGCCAAGUGUGUUGUGACAGCAAAGAAGCCUGGCUGUGGAGUCAGGCAGAACCGAGGCAUGACUCCCAGAUCCACUCUUUACUGCACCAGCGACCUAACCUCUUUCAGCUUCUUCCCUUGUCCAUAGAAACUGGGCGCUGACACUUAACCUGCCUGGGAUUUGGGGAAAUGAAACCAUAUAUGCCCAGCUGACAUGAGCUCAAUACCUAGGCUCCAGGCAGAGCCGUUGACCCUGUGACCCGUGUUAGGGACACAGUAGUGCGGAGGGAGGGAAGCAUGCCAGGGGCCCUGGGAGUCCACUCCGCCCUCUGCCUGGGGUAGGCGGUGGGGUAGUGCUGGUGGAGCUGGUGCCGCUCCCAUCCUUUUUCUUGUCUUUACAGCCCAAAGGCACAGACUUCAUUUCAUAGUUGGAUGUGCUCUGCUCAGAGGAGUCGUAGUGAAUGAAGUGAAUCAUCACUGUUGAGUCUGUAGCAGGUACAGCCAGCUGUGGGUGCACUCUCUCCACUCGAUCUGAUAGGAGCUGGCCGUUUCCUCCAGGGGUUGACGGCCCCUGGCGGGGACAUCUAAGGAGUAGCCCGAAGGCACUUAGAGGGUCCCCCAUACUGAAGAGGCAGCUGAGCCUUGUCUCUUUGAUGACCACAGGGACCAGGACAUCACACCCCUUGCAGGGGAGGAGGAUACAGCUCAAAUGGUAGAGCAUGUGCUUAGCGUUGCACGAGGUCCUGAGUUCAAUCCCCAGUGCCUCCUCUAAAAAUAAAUAAACCUAAUUACCUCUCCCUGUCCAAAAACAGAAAAACAAAAAACCCUUGCAAAGGGACAAGCAUUUAAUAUAUUGUCCUAACAGAGUACUCAGACUAUCAGCUAUAGUGGAGAAUAAUGACAGUCCCAUGGGUAGGGCAGUUGAAGGCCUGUUCCAUUUACAGGGUCACAGACACCAUAAAGUUACAGACUUUUCCCCAGAUUUGGGCUGAUUCUCUCCUCACUGUGAAGCAGGUGGUCUCCCUGGAUCCCUUUAUGCAGUUUUUUUUUUAAAAACUGCAGCCCAGUUCCAAACUCCAUAUUCAGAUGCAACAGUGGGCCCACAUAAAAUGAGAGGAGAGCUUUGCUGUCUGUAUCUGCCUGUUCUUAGCAAGGAAGCCUUUCCCAGAAACACUCGGCCAUCAGAUUGCAUUUCAAACCAGCUCAUUGUGAACCGGAGUAGAACGCGUGUCCAUCUGGGAAACGAAUGAUGAAAUCUCCAUCACGUUCCGUUCGGUAAGAGUAUAAAUCUGUUAACUGUGACUUUUCCUCCACGGCCUCCCCAGGUAAAACGGACAUUCUCUACCUAACCGGACAGUGGAACCCAAGAAGGAACCACGCAGAUGAGGAGGAAGGAAGGGCAUGCCAGAUGGAGGGAAGACCACGUGCGAGGUAUCCCCAGAGCUGUAUUACUGCUGAAACCUAGGAGACUUUCCCUGACUGAAGUGGCUGAAGACAGGUACCUGUAUUGGACUCUGAACUUGUGAUCUCAUCAGAGAGCUUGGGAGCUCAAGUGACCGGCCAGGCUUUCCUCCCAGCUCGAGGGGAGGAGAUCAGUUGACCACAUAAGUGCAGACCGAUUUGUCAGAGCCCACAGCGUUAGCCGUCACCAACUGUAACCUCCGUACCGGCUGGGGUGACAUGCAACGAGCCGGUGACAUCGCUGUGUGUUCAGAGCUGGUGGCACCAAGUCUGGAGUAGGAGCCGGAAUCCAGUGAGGUCCAGAGACGUGCCCCGUGUCAAAUUCUAGGCCAGAGACCGAGCCACAGGCACCGAGAGACAAGAAAUAUUGGUAUGGAGUCAGCGUAAAGUACAAGGGCCAAAUAGCAAAUCUGAAUGUACCUGUAGCAAGAAAAGAGAUCCAAUCAUUCAACUCAAAACCUCCCCACAAAAGGAAGCCCUGGCUUUGUCGGUGAGCUCUGUCAAAUGGUUAAGGAAGAAACAAUACGCUUCCUCCACAGACUCUUCCAGACUAGAGGAGGGACCGUUUCCUAACUCGUCCUAGAACAACGUUACCCUGCUGCCAAUACCAGAAGUGACAUCACAAAGAAAGAACAGACCAGUAUUGGUCAUGGAUAGCGAGACAUAAAUCCUCAACGAAAGGUUAGCAAACCAAAUCCAGCAACAUUCACAAAGGGCUAUGCAAUAUAAUCAGUCGAGCUCUAUCCCAGGAUUGCAAUAUUGGUUUAACGUUCAACUUCCGUUAAGGUAACCACCACCUUGAUGUAAGAAAGGACGGAAACCACCUGUCAUCUAGAAAGACAACGAAGAAGCAUUGGACAAAAUUCAAGAGCUGCUGAUGAUAAAGAUGCUCAGCCAACUCGAGAUAGGAGGGAGCAGCCUCAUUCUGAUGAAGGUCACUCCCGGGAAAUAUCCAGCUCCCGUCACGUCAUAUUUCAGAGGGUGAGAAUGAAGGCUGUCCCCUGGGGCUCCAGACCAAGACAGGGAUGCCUGCUCCAGCCAUGGGUGUCCAGCACGGACUGAAAGUCCUAGGCUGUGCGUCAUGCAGGGCAAGAAAUGAAAUAUGGAGACACUGGAAAUGAAACCUGUGUCCACGCAAGUACCCGUACUUUGGUGUUCACGGCAGCAUUAUUCGUAAUCUCAGAAAAGUGGGAACGGUCUAAAAGUCUGUCAGCUGGUGACGGAUAAACAGGGGGUGCAAUACUCAUACGGCAGAAUGCCAGUGAUGGAUGGAACGGGACGGACUUCUGAUUUCUGCUAAGACAUGGGCGAGCCACGGAAGCAGUCUGAUGUGUAACAGGACCCAGGCAGAAGGCCCCCUUAGUACCUGAGUCAGUUUAUAUGAAAUGCCCAGAAAGGGCAGAUCUACAGACACAGACAUGAGAUUAGAGGACGCCUGGGCCUGUGGGUGCUAAUGGGGAUUGACAGCCGGUGGGAACAAGGAACCUUACUGGGGUGCUGGCAGCGUUCCAGAACUGGAUUGUGGUGACAGUUGCACAGCUGUGUAAAUUGACUAAAAGUCACUGCAUUGGCCCCAUUAUAUGGGCGAAUCUUCUGGUGUAUAAAUUAUACCUCAGUGAAGCAGUUUAGAAAAGAUAAUGCAAACGUCCUGGUAAGUCAUGCAGGGGAGGAGAUGCUGUUGCUGUUGUAACAUAAGGACCCACCCCGCCCCUCUAUUUCCAUGUCCUGGGGUCCUGCGUCCUCUAUGUGUCCAAGAUGCUCCCGCCAGACGGGGUCACUGUGCACGUAGAACAGAAUUGUGUGUCUGUGUGUCUUCACUCACAGGUGCCCUCUGUGCGAGCACAAUUCAGUGGCUCCGGACAGCCUCCUGUAAUCCACCCUGCGUCUCACAUCGUACUGAGGUGAUUUUCCAUUCUUCUCAGAUCCCAGGGCCCAGGCUUCUGUUUCCCUGGUAACUGAUCUCAGCCGUCAGCUCCAGUACCUGGUUGCAGAAAUACUUGUAGCGCGGGGAGAGGCUUGUUCCCCCUCGCCCCCGUCCACACACACGGCCCCCUGCGUGAGCUCAGCGACCAGGGAGGAUGCUCAGCAGAGCGGUAACCAAGACAACGGAACUCCAGCCUCCUUCUUCCCCCAGGACCGAGGCCCGUUCCCUCCCCUUCACCUGCCUGGCUGUGUGGUAAAAAAGGAGACUCGGGGGCAUUGACACCCUCCCGAGUCCCUGAAAUUGUCUAAAUAUGUCAAAAACGGCUCUGGAAUGAGAAGACACAAUGAAAUUUCAAACAUUUUCAUGACUAACAACUAUGGCUUGGAAGUCCAAGAUUCUCUUUAAAGGCAGGACGACGAAGCAGCAUGUGAUGAUGCUUCUCCACCUCAGCUGGGCCUCAGAUCUCCCCUGGGGACACCUUAGAAGAACAGGGGCUGGCGCGCCAUCCCCAGGGAGUCUGAAGGAGCAGGUCUGGAAUGUGGCCCAGACAUGAGCAUGAUUUGAAAACUUCCCUGAUGAAAGCCGGGAUUGCGGCUGUGGAAACAGAACCAUCCUUAUAGGAGGAAAUCUGAAAUCAGACUUCGAGGCUCCUGUUUAGAAGGAAAGCAAGUUUUCAUCGUGAUCCGCUGUGCUUGGCAGGUAUCUUGGGCUGAGGAAAGGGAGAACAUGUCCAGUAAAUGGGUGCCUUACACCUAACCCUGGACUUACUCUUCUCCACGUUCCUGAAAGCAAAAUUUUGCACUUAAAGCCCUGCAUUUGCUCAUCAAACUUAGUACUUUGAGUUCUUGUCAGGAUCCCUUGUGCUUCGUCACUUCAAAACAUUCGUAAAACGUGGUAGAGGUAACAGCACGGGACAGAGCAGACUGGUUCCUUUAAAAUGAAAGAUGAGCAAGAAUCUUACCGUUGCUGUAGAAGGAUCAGCUGUCGGCUCAUCUGCUGAGUGUGCUGAGUUGCAUUUCUUUACUUUUUGGUAUAAUUUAUGUCAUCGAAUUAACUCCCGUGCUCAGAUAAGGCCAAACAGCACCAGCAUAUUUCUUGGGAAAAAUAAAAUCGCGCAAUCCCUUGUUUCGUGCACACCCACGGACA
Molecule: non-coding RNA, 12234 nt
Organism: Vicugna pacos (alpaca)
Lineage: Eukaryota; Metazoa; Chordata; Mammalia; Artiodactyla; Camelidae
Source: RefSeq, a predicted model, not a curated record